RNAcentral lists this ribosomal RNA (376 nucleotides) under uncultured organism. Its description in RNAcentral is "partial 16S ribosomal RNA". It matches the Rfam family "Bacterial small subunit ribosomal RNA", at positions 527 to 896 of the family's 1533-position model. The record is from RNAcentral.
GUAGGUGGCAAGCGUUGUCCGGAAUUAUUGGGCGUAAAGCGCGCGCAGGCGGUCCUUUAAGUCUGAUGUGAAAGCCCACGGCUCAACCGUGGAGGGUCAUUGGAAACUGGGGACUUGAGUACAGAAGAGGAAAGCGGAAUUCCAAGUGUAGCGGUGAAAUGCGUAGAGAUUUGGAGGAACACCAGUGGCGAAGGCGGCUUUCUGGUCUGUAACUGACGCUGAGGCGCGAAAGCGUGGGGAGCAAACAGGGAUUAGAUACCCUGGUAGUCCACGCCGUAAACGAUGAGUGCUAAGUGUUAGGGGGGUUUUCCCGCCCCCUUAGUGCUGCAGCUAACGCAGUAAGCACUCCGCCUGGGGAGUACGGCCCGCAAGGCUG